GAUGGGCUCGCGGCCUAUCAGCUUGUUGGUGAGGUAAUGGCUCACCAAGGCGUCGACGGGUAGCCGGCCUGAGAGGGUGACCGGCCACACUGGGACUGAGACACGGCCCAGACUCCUACGGGAGGCAGCAGUGGGGAAUAUUGCACAAUGGGCGGAAGCCUGAUGCAGCAACGCCGCGUGAGGGAUGACGGCCUUCGGGUUGUAAACCUCUUUUAGCAGGGAAGAAGCGAAAGUGACGGUACCUGCAGAAAAAGCACCGGCUAACUACGUGCCAGCAGCCGCGGUAAUACGUAGGGUGCAAGCGUUAUCCGGAAUUAUUGGGCGUAAAGAGCUCGUAGGCGGUCUGUCGCGUCUGCUGUGAAAUUCCGAGGCUCAACCUCGGGCUUGCAGUGGGUACGGGCAGACUAGAGUGCGGUAGGGGAGAUUGGAAUUCCUGGUGUAGCGGUGGAAUGCGCAGAUAUCAGGAGGAACACCGAUGGCGAAGGCAGAUCUCUGGGCCGUAACUGACGCUGAGGAGCGAAAGGGUGGGGAGCAAACAGGCUUAGAUACCCUGGUAGUCCACCCCGUAAACGUUGGGAACUAGUUGUGGGGGUCCUUUCCACGGAUUCCGUGACGCAGCUAACGCAUUAAGUUCCCCGCCUGGGGAGUACGGCCGCAGGCUAAAACUCAAAGGAAUUGACGGGGACCCGCACAAGCGGCGGAGCAUGCGGAUUAAUUCGAUGCAACGCGGAGGACCUUACCAAGGCUUGACAU
This 753-nucleotide ribosomal RNA is filed under the name bacterium enrichment culture. RNAcentral describes it as "bacterial SSU rRNA". It matches the Rfam family "Bacterial small subunit ribosomal RNA", at positions 224 to 987 of the family's 1533-position model. The record is from RNAcentral.